GCGCCGUUAGCUCAGUUGGUAGAGCAGCUGACUCUUAAUCAGCGGGUCCGGGUUUCGAGCCCCUGACGGCGCAC
This 74-nucleotide transfer RNA is filed under the name Mycobacteroides abscessus. Its description in RNAcentral is "tRNA-Lys(ctt)". It matches the Rfam family "tRNA". Rfam says of the family: Transfer RNA (tRNA) molecules are approximately 80 nucleotides in length. Their secondary structure includes four short double-helical elements and three loops (D, anti-codon, and T loops). Further hydrogen bonds mediate the characteristic L-shaped molecular structure. tRNAs have two regions of fundamental functional importance: the anti-codon, which is responsible for specific mRNA codon recognition, and the 3' end, to which the tRNAs corresponding amino acid is attached (by aminoacyl-tRNA synthetases). tRNAs cope with the degeneracy of the genetic code in two manners: having more than one tRNA (with a specific anti-codon) for a particular amino acid; and 'wobble' base-pairing, i.e. permitting non-standard base-pairing at the 3rd anti-codon position. Lineage: Bacteria; Bacillati; Actinomycetota; Actinomycetes; Mycobacteriales; Mycobacteriaceae. The record is from RNAcentral.